GAUGAACGCUGGCGGCGUGCCUAAUACAUGCAAGUCGAGCGAACGGACGAGAAGCUUGCUUCUCUGAUGUUAGCGGCGGACGGGUGAGUAACACGUGGAUAACCUACCUAUAAGACUGGGAUAACUUCGGGAAACCGGAGCUAAUACCGGAUAAUAUUUUGAACCGCAUGGUUCAAAAGUGAAAGACGGUCUUGCUGUCACUUAUAGAUGGAUCCGCGCUGCAUUAGCUAGUUGGUAAGGUAACGGCUUACCAAGGCAACGAUGCAUAGCCGACCUGAGAGGGUGGUCGGCCACACUGGAGCUGAGACACGGACCAGACUCCUACGGGAGGGAGCAGUAGGGAAUCUUCCGCAAUGGGCGAAAGCCUGACGGAGCAACGCCGCGUGAGUGAUGAAGGUCUUCGGAUCGUAAAACUCUGUUAUUAGGGAAGAACAGAUGUGUAAGUAACUGUGCACAGCUUGACGGUACCUAAUCAGAAAGCCACGGCUAACUACGUG
This 497-nucleotide ribosomal RNA is filed under the name uncultured bacterium. RNAcentral's name for it is "partial 16S ribosomal RNA". It matches the Rfam family "Bacterial small subunit ribosomal RNA", at positions 28 to 507 of the family's 1533-position model. The record is from RNAcentral.